Oncorhynchus nerka (sockeye salmon) is the source of this 4192-nucleotide long non-coding RNA. RefSeq lists it as uncharacterized. NCBI's taxonomy places the organism in Eukaryota, Metazoa, Chordata, Actinopteri, Salmoniformes, Salmonidae. The record is from RefSeq and is a predicted model, not a curated record. The transcript is spliced from 2 exons.
AUACUACGGGAGUGACCUGCAUUACAGAAAGGCCAUAGGACAAGCUGGAAACGCCUGAGCGGACGAGAGUGAAAUCAUUUUUGCCACGAUCAUUCACAGUUUUGUGGAAGUUACCUGUGGCACUGAUGUUUAGGCUGAGGUAUGUAUAGUUUUUUUGUGUGCUCUAUAGCAACGGUGUCUAGAUGGAAUUUGUAUUUGUGGCCCUGGCAACUGAGAUUUACUGUCAGGGCCUAGGUCUGACAUAAUCUGUGCAGAAGAUCAAGGUUCUGCUGUAGAUCAUCCUUGGUUGGGGACAGAAUCACCAGAUCAUCAGCAAACAGUAGACAUUUGACUUCAGAUUCUAGUGUUCUAGUGCCCUCGCCAAUUCAUUGAUAUAAAUGUUGAAGAGGGUGGGGCUUAAGCUGCAUCCCUGUCUCACCCUACUGCCCUGUGGAAAGAAAUGUGUGUGUUUUUUGCCAAUUUUAAUUGCACAUUUGUUUUUUGUAUACAUGGAUUUUAUAAUGUUGUAUGUUUUUCCCCCAACACCACUUUCAAUCAAUUUGUAUAGCAGACCCUCAUGCCAAAUUGAGUCAAAAGUUUUUUUGAAAUCAACAAAGCAUGAGAAGACUUUACCUUUGUUUUGGUUUGUUUGUUGGUCAAUUAGGGGUGGCAGGGUAGCCUAGUGGUUAGAGUGUUGGAGCUGACAAGGUACAAAUCUGUUUUUCUGCCCCUGAACAGGCAGUUAACCCAGUGUUCCUAGGCCGUCAUUGAAAAUAAGAAUGUGUUCUUAACUGACUUGCCUAGUUAAAUAAAGGUAAAAUAAAUAAACAAAGGGUGUGCAGGGUGAAUACGUGGUCUGUCGUACGGUAAUUUGGUAAAAGCCAAUUUGACAUUUGCUCAGUACAUUGUUUUUUACUGAGGAAAUGUACACGUCUGCUGUUAAUGAUAAUGCAGAGGAUUUCACUGAGGUUGCUGUUGACGUGUAUCCCACGGUAGUUAUUGGGGUCAAAUUGGCCUCCACUUUUGUGGAUUGGGAUGAUCAGUCCUUGGUUCCAAAUAUUGAGGAAGAUGCCAGAGCUAAGGAUGAUGUUAAAGAGUUUAAGUAUAGCAAAUUGGAAUUUGCAGUCUGUAUAUUUGAUCAUUUCAUUAAGGACACGAUCAAGACCACAGGCCUUUUGAGGUUGAAGGGUUUGUAUUUUGUCCUGUAGUUAAUUCAAUGUAAUUGGAGAAUCAAUUGGGUUCUGGUAGUCUUUAAUAGUUUAUUGUAAUAUUUGUAUUUGAUCAUGUAUAUAUUUUUGCUGUUUGUUCUUUGUUAUAGGGCCAAAUUGUAUAAUGAUAUUCUAAUGCCGCGGGAGAGGAUGGCUGCCGUUUUACAGGCUCCUAACCAACAGUGAUAUUUAGUUUGUUUUUUGCAUUGUUUGUAACGUAUUUGUACAUAAUGUUGCUGCUACCAUCUCUUGUGACCGAAAAGAGCUUCUGGAUAUCAGAACAGCGAUUACUCACCUUGAAUUGGAUGAAGAAUUUUUCUUUAAUGAGUCGGACGAGAGGGAUUUACUCCAGACACCCGAACGGGCCCUCCUCCACGUCAUUCGCAGGAGAAAGAGACUGAGAUUUCACGGAAGGAGAUCGGGGUGCAACGAGUGGCUUAUCUGCCUUUGCCAUCCGUAUUAUUAGCCAACAUACAAUCGCCGGAAAAUAAAUGGGACGACUAUAAACACAUAUAUCCUACCAACGGGACAUUAAAAAACCGGUAAUAUAUUAUGUUUUCACAGAGUCUUGGCUGAACGACGACAUGAAUAACAUACAGCUGGCGGGUAAUACACUCUAUCGGCAGGAUAGAUCAGCAGCCUCUGGUAACACAAAGGGUGGCAGUCUAUGCAUAUUUGUAAACAACAGCUGGUGCAGGAAGUCUCAAGGUUUUGCUCGCCUGAGGUAGAGUAUCUCAUGGUAAGAUGUAGACCACACUAUCUACCUAGAGAGUUUAUCUGUAUUUUUCGUAACUGUCUACAUACCACCACAGACCAACGCUGGCACUAAGAGCGCACUCAAUGAGCUGUAUACCACCAUAAGCAAACAGGAAAACAUUCAUCCAGUGGUGCUCCUAGUGCAUCGAUGACGUCGUCCCCACAGUGACUGUACGUACAUACCCCAACCAGAAGCCAUGGAUUACAGGCAACAUCUGUCCUGAGCGAAAGGGUAGAGCCGCCGCUUUCAAGGAGCGGGACUCUAACCCCGGAAGCUUAUAAGAAAUCCCUUAUGCCCUCCGACGAACCAUUAAACAGGCAAAGCGUCAAUACAGGACUAAGAUCGAAUCGUACAGCUUCGAUGCUAGUUGGAUGUGGUAGUGCUUGCAAACUAUUACAGACUACAAAGGGAAGCACAGCUGAGAGCUGCCCAGUGACACGAGCCUACCAGACGAGCUAAAUAACGUCUAUGCUCGCUUCGAGGUAAGUAACACUGAAAUAUUCAUGAGAACAUCAGCUGUUCCGGAAGACUGUGUGAUCACGCUCUCCACAGCCGAUGUGAGUAAGACUUUUAAACAGGUCAACAUUCACAAGGCCGCAGGGCCAGAAGGAUUAUCGGGACGUGUACUCCGAGGAUGCACUGACCAACUGGCAAGAGUCUUCACUGACAUUUUCAACCUUUCUCUGUCUGAGUCUGUAAUACCAACAUGUUUCAAGCAGACCACCAUAAUCCCUGUGACCAUGAACACUAAGGUAAAAUGCUUAAAUGACUACCAACCCGUUGUGCUCACAUCUGUAGCCAUGAAGUGCUUUGAAAGGCUAGUCAUGGCUCACAUCAACACCAUUAUCCCAGAAACCCUAGACCCAUUCCAAUUUGCAUACCGCCCAAACAGAUCCACAGAUGACACAAUCUUUAUUCAACUCCACAAUACCCUUUCACACCUGAACAAAAGGAACACCAAUGUGAUAAUGUUAUUCAUUGACUACAGCUCAGCAUUCAACACCAUAGUGCCCUCAAAGCUCAUCACCAAGCUAAGAUCCUGGACUUCCUAACGGGCCUCCCCCUGGUGGUAAGGGUAGGUAACCACACAUACGCCACACUGAUCCUCAACAUGGGGGCCCCUCAGGUGUGUGCUCAGUCCCCUCCUGUGCUCCCUAUUCACUCAUGACUGCACGCCCAGGCACGACUCCAACACCAUCAUUAAGUUUGCCAAUGACACAACAGGCCUGAUCACUGACAACGACGAGACAGCCUAUAGGGAGGAGGUCAGAGAUCUGACCGUGUGGUGCAAGGACAACAACCUCCCUCAACGUGAUCAAGACUAAGGAGAUGAUUGUGGACUACAGGAAAAGGAGGCCCGAGCACGCACCCAUUCUCAUUGAUGGAGCUGUUGAGAGUUUCAAGUUUCUUGGCAUCCACAUCACCAACAAACUAACAUGGUUCAAGCACACCAGGACAGUCAUGAAAAGGGCACAACAAAGCCUAUUCCCCCUCACAAGACUGAAAAUAUUUGCCAUGAGUCCUCAGAUCCUCAAAAGGUUCUACAGCUGCACCAUCGAGAGCAUCCUGACGGGUUUGAUCACUGCCUGGUAUGGCAACUGCUCAGUCUCCGACCGCAAGGCACUACAGAGGGUGGUACGUGCGGCCCAGUGCUUCACCGGGGCCAAGCUUCCUGCCAUCCAGGACCUCUAUACCAGGCGGUGUCAGAGGAAGGCCCUAAAAAUUGUCAAAGACUCCAGCCACCCUGGUCAUCGACUGUUCUCUCUGCUACCGCAUGGCAAGCGGUACCGGAGCACCAAGUCUAGGUCCAAGAGGCUUCUAAACACCCCGAAGCCAUAAAACUCCUGAACAUCUAAUCAAAUGGCUACCCGGACUAUUUGCACCCCCCCCCCCCCCCCUUCUUCGCUGCUGCUACUCUCUGUUAUUAUCUAAUCAUCGUCACUUUAAUAACUCUACCUACAUGUACAUAUUACCUCAAUUACCUCGACUAACCAGUGCCCCGACACAUUGACUGUUUACCGGUACCCCCUGUAUAAAGCCUCGCUAUUAUCUUACUCCUGCUCUGUAAUUAUUUCUUACUUUUAUUUCUUACUUUUUUUAGAUAUUUUCUUGAAACUUCAUUGUUAGUUAAGGGCUUGUAAGUCAGCAUUUCACUGUAAGGUCUACACCUGUGACAAAUAAAAUUUGAUUUGAUUUGAAAAAGAUUGGAGAAGUGGUUUACCCAUACAUCUCCAUUUUGGAUAGAUAA